ACUCCUACGGGAGGCAGCAGUGGGGAAUAUUGCACAAUGGGGGGAAACCCUGAUGCAGCCAUGCCGCGUGUGUGAAGAAGGCCUUCGGGUUGUAAAGCACUUUCAGUAGGGAGGAAGGUAGUGUAGUUAACACCUGCACUAUUUGACGUUAACCUACAGAAGAAGCACCGGCUAACUCCGUGCCAGCAGCCGCGGUAAUACGGAGGGUGCGAGCGUUAAUCGGAAUUACUGGGCGUAAAGCGCAUGCAGGCGGCCUGUUAAGUCAGAUGUGAAAGCCCGGGGCUUAACCUCGGAAUUGCAUUUGAAACUGGCAGGCUAGAGUCUUGUAGAGGGGGGUAGAAUUUCAGGUGUAGCGGUGAAAUGCGUAGAGAUCUGAAGGAAUACCAGUGGCGAAGGCGGCCCCCCUGGACAAAGACUGACGCUCAGAUGCGAAAGCGUGGGGAGC
This 445-nucleotide ribosomal RNA is filed under the name uncultured bacterium. Its description in RNAcentral is "bacterial SSU rRNA". It matches the Rfam family "Bacterial small subunit ribosomal RNA", at positions 335 to 769 of the family's 1533-position model. The record is from RNAcentral.